Molecule: ribosomal RNA, 253 nt
Filed under: uncultured bacterium
Lineage: Bacteria
Description: partial 16S ribosomal RNA
Rfam family: Bacterial small subunit ribosomal RNA
Source: RNAcentral
GACAGAGGGGGCGAGCGUUUUCCGGAGUCACUGGGCGUAAAGCGCGCGCAGGCGGUCGCCAAAGGGUCGUGUGAAAACCCCCGGCUCAACCGGGGGAGGCCAUGGCAAACUCGGCGACUGGAGCGGCGGAGAGGCCCCUCGAAUUGCCGGUGUAGCGGGGAAAUGCGUAGAGAUCGGCAGUAAGACCAAGGGGGAAGCCAGGGGGCUGGCCGCUGGCUGACGCUGAGGCGCGACAGCGUGGGGUGCGAACCGG